AGGCGCAGCAGGUACCCAGGAGCUGCGCGCCUCUGUGGAACCACACUACGCAGGCGCAGGAGCCUCCCUACUGAGGGCAUAUUCGUCGAGGCAGCGCCGGGGAAUAGUGUUGGGGGGAUUGAGCCCGAAAGGCAGGCAGGGGAUUUCCGGUUCCGGGAGUAACCGAUGGCAGCUACUGCUUCGGUGGAGGUGGAAGAGGAGUAGGACCCGGCGGGACGCGGGCGGGCGCCUCUCCAUGGGUCCGCGGGCCUAGAGUGGCCGGAGCUGCGGGCCUGGUGCCAAACUGCAUCCAUGGCUGAGGAAUGGAUGGACUGCCCAGCCCUGGGCCCUGGCUGGAAACGACGUGAGGCCUUUCGAAAGUCAGGUGCCACCUGUGGACGCUCAGACAUCUAUUACCAGAGCCCCACAGGAGACAAGAUCCGAAGCAAAGUUGAGCUGACCCGAUACUUAGGCCCUGCUUGUGACCUUACCCUCUUCGACUUCAAACAAGGCAUUGUAUGCUAUCCAGCCCCCAAGACUCCUUUGGCUGUCCCCAGCAAGAAGCAAAAGAAGCCUUCCAAACCAGCAAAGGCUCAGAAACCUGCCGUUUCUGAACCACAGAGAAAUGAGGCCAGAAAGGAGACUCCUCAGGAUGAGAUUAAGGCUAGCACUGAUGCAGCCCCAGCUUCAGUCCCUGCACCUGGGUGCUGUGAGAAUUGUGGAAUCCGCUUCUCAGGGGAUGGUACCAGAAGGCAGCGGCUCAAGACUUUAUGCAAAGACUGCCGAGCACAGAGGAUUGCCUUCAACCGUGAGCAGAGAAUGUUUAAGCGUAUUGGCUGUGGAGAGUGUGCAGCCUGCCUGGUAACUGUAGACUGCGGGGCUUGUUCUACCUGCCUCCUGCAACUGCCCCGUGAUGUGGCCACAGGGCUAUUCUGCAAGUGUGAGCGGAGACGCUGCCUCCGGAUUGUGGAGAGGAGCCAAGGGUGUGGAGUGUGCCGGGGCUGUCUGAUCCAAGAGGACUGUGGCCAUUGCCGAGCCUGCCUUCGCUCUCCCCGCCCUGGUCUCAGGCGUCAGUGGAGGUGUGUGCAGCGACGUUGCCUUUGGCACCUUGUUCAUCGUGUCCAUGGCCACCCUAAGGGAUGUCAGCGGUGCCCUUCUCUGGUUGUGGUCCCCCCUACUGGUAAACAUGGCCGUCAUAAGGGGGCCUCCAAGGCUGCUGCCCGACAUCGCUCCCAAGCUCAGCCACUGCCUCCACUUCCUCCAUCACAGCACCCAGAGCCCACAGAGCUGCACACCAGCGUCCUAGCGCCCUCAUCACCUGCUGAGUUCAUCUAUUACUGUGUAGACGAGGACGAGCUACAGCCCUGCACGAACCGCCGGCAGAACCGCAAGUGCGGGGCCUGUGCAGCCUGCCUACGGCGGAUGGACUGUGGCCACUGCGACUUCUGCUGCGACAAGCCCAAAUUCGGGGGCAGCAACCAGAAGCGCCAGAAGUGUCGUUGGCGCCAGUGCCUGCAAUUUGCCAUGAAGCGGUUGCUGCCCAGUGUGGGGUCAGGGUCUGAAGAAAGAGCGGAAUCACCUCCACAUCACCCUCAUCGAAAGAGGCCUGGUUCUGCUCGACGACUCCAUUUGGACCCUUCCUUAAAGCCCCCUUUGGCUAUGUGCCCAGCCCAGCCAGGCCGUGCCCAAGACCCAGUGAAGCAAGAAGCAAGUGGUGACUUUGUGCUGCCUCCACCUGGCACAGACCUUGUGUUUUUACGGGAGGGUGCCAGCAGCCCUGUGCAGGUGCCAGGCCCUGCUACAACUUCCUCAGAAGCCCAGUUGCAGGAGGACCAGUGCUCUGCCCUGAGUUGGGUUGUGGCCUUACCACAGGUGAAGCAAGAGAAGGUGGAUGCCCCAGAAGAAUGGACAGCAGGCACGGCCGUCCUGACUUCUUCCACGUUGCAGCCUGACUUCCCUAGCAAGGCGGUAGAUCCAGGUCUUCUACCCGUGAAACAAGAGCCACCUGACUCUGAGGAGGAAAAGGAAGAGAACAAAGAUUAUGUCUCUGAAUCAGCCCCAGAGGAAGAGGCAGGAGGGCCUGGCAUACCUGUGAUCACGGAGAUUUUCAGCCUGGGUGGAACCCGCUUCCGGGACACAGCGAUCUGGUUCCCAAGGUCCAAGGACCUUAAAAACCCUGGAGCUAGAAAGCAGUAGACUGGAAGCUUCUACAGACUGUAGCACUGAAGGUGAUAUUUGCAGACUGGCUUUAUGAGCGAUAACUUCUCCGAUCUACUAGGGGCUGAACCCUGGCCUGGUUGCUGAGCUUGUGUAUAAAUCAACCCUAAGAGGAAACCUACAAGCACAAUCAAGGAGCAGGCCUACUCAGUCCUUGGAACUUAGAGGAAGCAAGCCGGAAAGGAAGAGAAAGUAGAGAGCUGGUGCAUCUGCUCCUCGCAGGAUCUCAAAUGGAAUAAGACGUGGGAUGUAGGGGUAGGGGGAACUCAGAUAGGGGAGAGAGAUCAUUGAAGUCAUCACAAACAACCCAAACAAGCUAUCUUCAUAAAUGAUUGUGGGUGGCUUCUGGACAAGAUCUGGCAGUGUAUCUAAACAUUUUCUCAGGGAAACAGCAGUUGAAAAUGCAACCUGAAUAAAGAAGGAAAGAAAAGGAACUGCUGUUUGGCUACAUAAACUUAGCAGUAAAUGAAAAUGAGUAUUUUACUGAACUACAGUUGAAAGAAGAAAUAUUAUAGGAGAGAAAAACAGCAUUAUUAAGAGAAGACAUUAUUUUGUGACUGAAAAGCUGAACCUGCAAAUCAGGAAAUGGAAUCCAUAUCUAGAAAUGUACCAUGUAGAAAAUCUGGAGUGGGAGGGUUACAAAUAAUUAAGAACACAAUUUGCAGUAAAUUGGGACCUUAAGAGGAUACACACAGUAAUUGCACUUGGAUUACUAGUAUGAUCUGUUAUUCUGUGCUUGCUCCCACUUUAGAACAGGGGUACCAAAGUAGCAUUCUUAAUUGGCUUUUAAGUAUUAGAACUACAAUCAUGUUGUCGAUGAAAAAAUAAACUUGUGGUUCCCACAUGUGCUGAGGACCCCAAUUCAUUUCCCUGAACUGUGUUGCCAGUUCAGCCUGGGAUCCUGAUUCUCAAGAAUUGAUUAUCUGACCUGAUUCACAACCUGGCCUUGGUCCACUGGUACCCCUCCGUUCAUUUUUAUGUGUCCAGUUGAAUCAGACCACUGCCCUAUCAGCUGGUCUGAUCUGCCUCCUUCUAACGGUAACCCAAAGUUCUAACUAGUACAGUAGGAAGAUUUUGUUCACAAAUAUUACUGGUUGGGUAGCUUGCUAAAUAAAGCACUUGGGCUCUUUGUUUAAGCCUUAACUUCACUGUAAAAUAAGGCUAAUUAUACCUGCAGUUUCUCUAACCUUGUAAGAUAUUUGUCAGCCUCAAAGGUUGUAUCUGAAAAUACCGUGAAAAUUGUAAAGAACUACACAAGUA
Nannospalax galili (Upper Galilee mountains blind mole rat) is the source of this 3456-nucleotide RNA transcript. It is a transcript of the gene named methyl-CpG binding domain protein 1, with no coding region annotated. The transcript is spliced from 18 exons. The record is from RefSeq and is a predicted model, not a curated record. Lineage: Eukaryota; Metazoa; Chordata; Mammalia; Rodentia; Spalacidae.